Ribosomal RNA from Cellulomonas carbonis T26, 984 nucleotides. It matches the Rfam family "Bacterial large subunit ribosomal RNA", at positions 1 to 988 of the family's 2925-position model. NCBI's taxonomy places the organism in Bacteria, Bacillati, Actinomycetota, Actinomycetes, Micrococcales, Cellulomonadaceae. The record is from Rfam.
GCGAAAGUAAGUCAGGGCGCAUGGUGGAUGCCUUGGCUCACGGAGGCGACGAAGGACGUGAUAAGCUGCGAUAAGCUGCGGGUAGGAGCAAAUAUCCCUUGAUCCGCAGAUUUCCGAAUGGGACAACCCAGCAGGCUGAAGGCCUGUUAUCCCUGCCUACGCAGGGAGGCUAACCGAGGGAACUGAAACAUCUUAGUACCUCGAGGAAGAGAAAAUAACAAUGAUUCCCCCAGUAGUGGCGAGCGACCGGGGAAGAGCCCAAACCUGCCUUGUGGCAACGCAUGGCAGGGGUUGUAGGACCGCGCCGUGGUACUUGCAAAGUGAGAAGAAGUAUCUGGAAAGUUACAUCAUAGAAGGUGAUAAUCCUGUAUUCGAAACUACUGCGAGACCUAGCGGUAUCCUGAGUAACGCGGGACACGUGUAAUCCUGCGCGAAUCCGCCGGGCCCAUCCGGCAAGGCUAAAUACUCCCGUGAGACCGAUAGCGUACCAGUACCGUGAGGGAAAGGUGAAAAGUACCCCUAUAAGGGGAGUGAAAGAGUACCUGAAACCAUGCGCCUACAAGCGGUCGGAGCUGCUAUAUGCAGUGACGGCGUGCCUUUUGCAUAAUGAACCUACGAGUUACCGUCACAGGCGAGGUUAAGGAAGAUGACUUCCCGAGCCGCAGUGAAAGCGAGGCUGAAGAGGCCGUAUAGUCUGUGGAGGUAGACGCGAAACCGAGUGAUCUACACAUGUCCAGGAUGAAGUCCCGGUAACACGGGAUGGAGGUCCGCACCGAUAAGCGUUGAAAAGCUUCCGGAUGAGGUGUGUGUAGGAGUGAAAGGCCAAUCAAACUCGGAGAUAGCUCGUACUCCCCGAAAGGCAUUUAGGUGCCGCGUCACAUGAUCUGUAUGAGAGGUAGAGCGACCGAUAGGUCAAGAGGGCUUCACCGCCUAUCGCGACCUGACGAACUCCGAAUGCUCAUACACUGCAGUGUGGCAGUAAGG